CUGGCCACAUCUCGUCAGUGGGUGGUUGACUGUAUCAGCUGCCUUCUCUGUAUACAAGGCCAGCCCAUGAACCUGGGGUCAGCGGAGGAAGAGCUGAGAUGUCUCCGUGAAGAACUAACAGCAGCUCUGGACCCCGAGGCUCUGUUUCAGGCAUCUUCCAAAAUGGCCAGGGUUGUUAGUGAGUACUUUCCCCGGAACAG
Mauremys reevesii (Reeves's turtle) is the source of this 200-nucleotide long non-coding RNA. RefSeq lists it as uncharacterized. The transcript has 3 exons. NCBI's taxonomy places the organism in Eukaryota, Metazoa, Chordata, Testudines, Geoemydidae. The record is from RefSeq and is a predicted model, not a curated record.